UACAGAGGGGGCAAGCGUUGUUCGGAAUUACUGGGCGUAAAGGGCGUGUAGGCGGCCUUCUAAGUCGAACGUGAAAUCCCCGGGCUCAACCCGGGAACUGCGUCCGAUACUGGAAGGCUAGAAUCCGGGAGAGGGAUGUGGAAUUCCAGGUGUAGCGGUGAAAUGCGUAGAUAUCUGGAGGAACACCGGUGGCGAAGGCGACAUCCUGGACCGGUAUUGACGCUGAGGCGCGAAAGCCAGGGGAGCAAACGGG
RNAcentral lists this ribosomal RNA (253 nucleotides) under uncultured bacterium. RNAcentral's name for it is "partial 16S ribosomal RNA". It matches the Rfam family "Bacterial small subunit ribosomal RNA", at positions 524 to 776 of the family's 1533-position model. The record is from RNAcentral.